RNAcentral lists this long non-coding RNA (2281 nucleotides) under Nicotiana benthamiana. RNAcentral's name for it is "long non-coding RNA (NBEN_LNC039006)". The record is from RNAcentral. Lineage: Eukaryota; Viridiplantae; Streptophyta; Magnoliopsida; Solanales; Solanaceae.
ACUAAAUGAAAACAGAUUUGAUUACUUGAAGACGACUUGAGCCUGCAAUAGGCCCAAUUACCUUAAACACAAAGGGCCAACAUGAACAACCGACGUUUAAGGAAGGGAACAUGUGAGGCUGGAUUUUGAGAUUGAGCCCACACCUUGAAGUGGCAAGCAGCCUUUCUCCGAUUUGACCAGGGCCCAAAGUAUGCCCAACGUACACCAUUAGCUAUCAAUUCAGGCCACAAAAUGGGCCAGCCAUAAACUCAAUGCUUAAUGAGUAGUCGAAUUCUAACACAUGAUUAAUUCAUACACAAAAUGCGUAAGAGAAUUGAUUUCAAACAAUGCUAACUGCCAAUACAUGAUUAUGUCAUAACUCUAAAAUCAAAAUUCAAAUUGUUUAAUACGACAUUACUUUUAUGCAAUUAACUCUCUUCACUUAAAGAAUUAAAACAUGUUAUAGACCUUGAAACAACUGAACUCCCAAUCUAAUGACCAUUCCUGUUAUUAGACAUGCUAAAACCACCAUUCCAGCUUUAAAAAAUAAUCCAAAGCUGUUGAUGAAUUGACUAAUGAAAAUCUCUUGAAUCACUAUUAUUAUCCCUUCCAAACACAUGAAUUCUAGAUUAUGAAAUUAUUAUGAUCCUCAUAAUAAUUACAAGAAGACAGACUAUCAAUCACAAUGAGAUCAGCAUUGUAAUACCCACAUCCCUUACUAUUCUUACAAUAUAAGACCUACAUUUUCAUCAAUCAAAUAUUUGAAAAAAAAACAGUCCUAAAUGAUUACCAUUGAGUAUAAAAACUUGUAAACCACUUACAAAUAAGCUAAAAAAAUUAACCUAAACAUUAAACCAUCCAUCUAUAUUAAAUCAAUAGCGAUCAUACUUUAAACAGACUGAAGCCAUAUCAUGAAAAAUAGGAAAAGAAAAGCAUUCAUCCAAACGAACAAGAAGUCACAUUGCAAAUCAACAAUUUACAAGUCCGUUCAUCACUUCAAGUUCAUGUCAACUUCAUGAAUAUACCUGGAACAAUAGGAAAUCAACAACAAAACUUCAACAAAUGAAUGGAAAUAUCGGCAACAUCUAAACAAGAACUAACAACAUCUCAUCAACCAGCUUUUCAUGCUUGAAACUAGAAGAAAACAAUAAUUUUCUAGCCAUUAAAACCCCAAAAAUGAAGAAAUCAGCCACAAGAGACCAAUAUUUUUCCUAAUUUUUGUGUUUUCUUACUAAUUCCCAACCUUCAGUAGUGAGUGUAGCCGUUUCUAAAUUUUAAUCUAUGUAAUCUUUGCUCAUUUUAUUGAAAGCAAACCUUAUAUAGAUGACCUUAGGGCAGCAGAAUUGGUUUUCAACUUUGUCAUUUACCCCUUCCCUGAUUUUUCAUUAUUUCAUUUUAAACCCCAAAUUUUAAAACCAUUUACUGAAACUACCAAAUACCCUCUUUCCUGGAAGCUUCCCAAUCAUUUUUUAAAAGAUUUUUAAAUUUAAAUUCCACAAAUACCCUUUAGUCCCCUGUUAUUUACUCUCAAGAAAAAACAUGUGUCAAAUUGAAAUAGAACCAAACCCAAACCUAACCCCAUGGCCUGGAAAACCAACAUUUACUCUUCCCAUCUUUGGGCUUCAGACUGAUAGAGCCCAAAUUUUAAUUCAAAACCAAACCCACAAGAAAAUGGGCCAACGGAGUUAUAAGAACUCCAGAAUCUAUAAAAACAAAAAUAAGAGGAAAUCUGAGCAAAAUUAAAUAACAAAAUCAAUUGAACUACAACAUGCCGACUAAAACGACUUAAACUUAACAUGCACACAUAAACGGGUUUUUAAAAAAAACAAGAAGGAAGAGAAAGAACUAGAAAAGGAUGAGGAUUAGACUAAGACGAAAAAGAAAAAUGAACGAAGAUACGUAAUUAGGCAAACAAACAAUGGGCUUGGACAGACUUCCGAUGGUCUCCGAUUUAAACCAAAAUGAGUGUAAUCGACUGUUCUUAUGAGAACAAUCGACUAACACUCAUUUUAGGCCAAAAUCAUCUUCAACAAUUGGAUAACAAUGAACCCAGGCCUUUUGCAUAAAGAAUCAAAGGCGGGAACAUAUCUAGGGUUCCGUAUUAGAUAUUAAUUUAAGGGAAACUAGUGGGGAUUCUGGGGAAAUUGACACAUGACUAGUGUUUUAGGGAGUGUGGGGAGUGUAUGGUUAUAUUUUGGUGGAAUUUGGAGCUUCAAUUCCGGUGAAAAUCAUAGCAGUAUGAAGGGCAGCGGGUUAGGGUUGGACGUCUGAGAGAUAGGAGAAGUAAAGUGAAAAAGGGUAG